UCAGAAAAUAGCUUUGAAAAUUCAUAUAUGAGAGCAUUUUAUUAAAAUGUUUCACCUACCAAAAACUAUACCCUUUAUGGCAGAACACAGGAUUUUUCAAGUGUUCACAAGCCCUCUAAAUGCAUCUCCUAGAUUUUCCAAAUAUCUGCAUAGAAAGUCCAUUUCUUUAUUGCACUGAAAGAUCCCUUCAGGAUAUUAGACAUACAUUUCUUCCAAAAGUACAAUCACUAGUGAUUUGCCCUUUUCCAUUUUUUCACAGGUCACUUAGCAACAUAUUUAGGCUCAUAGGUAUUUGGGAAUCAGUUAAUAUUACUUAUUUGCAUGAAAUUCUUUGUAGUCACUUCUGAAGAGAAGAUUCUUGUUUCCUUUUGUUUCUCUUUAUUUUGGUAGGAGAGGAGCCUCCUUCCCUUGUGCAGGGGAGCUGUCAUUUUUGUAGUAAGCCACUGAAGGUUUCCGUUUGUCUUUAACAUACUUAAACUGAAAAUGUCACUGAAGCAGUUCAUCAAGUUGAACCAUUUAAUCAAGAAUUUGCUCUAAAUUUUCCUGGGGGUGGGGGACAGUUCCUCAUUGCCUUGUCUUCUUACCAAACUGUUUCUAACACCAUUGCCAAGUCUGCCCAUCCUGGGGAGAACACACCAUCAUCUCUAAAUGCGGCACAUCUUAUUUCUCUAUUUAGUGUUAGCUGACAGGACUGUUACUGUUCCUGUAGAUAUUAAAAAUUGGGUUCACUGAGGCAGACAUUUCCCAGUCACCAUAAAACAUCCCCCAAAGUAAAACCCCAGUUCCAUCGAUAUCCUAGUCACAGUGUCUCUAAUCUAGCGACUUAUCACUUCAACAAGGUCCUGAAAUUUUAUAUGACCCGUUUUUAGCACUCGUUCCAUUUUCCGCAGUAUUAUGUAGCCCCUGGCCGACAUCACUUGGGGGGAAGGGGCUCUCAGCACAGAACAAAGAACCGUAUUACAGGGAAGGCCAAAGUCCACAGAAAAGGCAGAGCCGCGCUGAUGCUCGCAGUCUGUCCCAGGUGAAAAGCGUAAAUAAAACAUGAUCGCUUCAGCUGUGCUCCUGUUUCCUAAGUGCCAAUCUCGUGGAGUGAGGACCCUUGCUGGGCUGGUGAAGGCGACGGUUCACGAUUUCACUGGCCUCAGGGCUAAGAAUUUAAUUUGCUUUUCCAUCAAGUUUUGAAGUGAUCCUGCUCUCCUUUUCCCAUGAGCAUAGAGAGACCAAUACAGAUGCAAAAGAGAGAACCGGUUUGUUUCCGUGUUAGCAAAUUGCUGCAGCUUAGUCUAGACAGUGGGUGAAAUUCUAGGGAGGGUCUGUUUUGUGCUAAACCAAGAAAAAAAAAAGAACGUGCUCAGAGAGUAUAGAGGAGUCAGCAGAAGUUUCAUUUCAGUAGAUCCCUGAAGGUUUCCCGAUAAAGAUGACAUUGGAACUUGGGCUUUCAAGGGAGAGCAGUUUCCAUUGAUGGCGAACAUUCGAGAAAGAGCAGCAUAAAUAUGCCAGACACCGUGGUAAACAUAUGGUUGGAUGCAGGGGCUCAUCAGAAGGUCCCUGAAGUUCCCAUGACUCCAGAAAGAAAACCCUUGGGCAUCCAGAGGGGGUACGACCAGACUCCUCAUGCUGAAGUGUCUGUCCUUGGUCUAUCAGGCAACCCUAGACCACCGGCUUCCAGAAGAGCCCACACCAGGCAUCGCUCCCGCUUGGUCCACACGAAACAAACGCACACCACUCACCCAGACGAACCCUAGGAGAGCAGGCUGCUCCCUGCAGAGCGAGCACCGCUCCGGCUCUGCCACCAGAGCAGCUGGGAGUCCUUCUCUUACUCUCUGGAACUGCCUUUGGGUUAUCAGACCCCAGUUCCCUGUGUCUCCCAGCUGCCGGGAACACAUUUCAAACCUGUCCGGUGGGCUCCCUGGAAGCGCUUGCAAAUUGAGAAUUAGAAAAAAGAAGAUUUUGUCAGCUCACAUGGUAAAGAAUCCGCCUGCAACUCAGGAGACCUGGGUUCGAUCCUGGGUUGGGAAGAUCCCCUGGAGAAGGAAAUGGC
Bos taurus (domestic cattle) is the source of this 2041-nucleotide long non-coding RNA. Lineage: Eukaryota; Metazoa; Chordata; Mammalia; Artiodactyla; Bovidae. The record is from Ensembl.